AGGACGAACGCUGGCGGCGUGCUUAACACAUGCAAGUCGAGCGGUGAUCCUCCUUCGGGAGGUGAGCAGCGGCGAACGGGUGAGUAACACGUGGGCAACCUGCCCCUCACACUGGGAUAAACCUCGGGAAACCGGGAUUAAUACCAGAUACGACCACUUUAGACAUCUGCUGUGGUGGAAAGAAUUUCGGCUAGGGAUGAGCUCGCGGCCUAUCAGCUUGUUGGUGAGGUAACGGCUCACCAAGGCGACGACGGGUA
RNAcentral lists this ribosomal RNA (257 nucleotides) under uncultured bacterium. RNAcentral describes it as "partial small subunit ribosomal RNA". It matches the Rfam family "Bacterial small subunit ribosomal RNA", at positions 26 to 285 of the family's 1533-position model. The record is from RNAcentral.